UCGAGCGCCCCGCAAGGGGAGCGGCAGACGGGUGAGUAACACGUGGGAACCUUCCCUAUAGUACGGAAUAGCCCAGGGAAACUUGGAGUAAUACCGUAUACGCCCGAGAGGGGAAAGAUUUAUCGCUAUAGGAUGGGCCCGCGUAGGAUUAGCUAGUUGGUGAGGUAAUGGCUCACCAAGGCGACGAUCCUUAGCUGGUUUGAGAGAACGACCAGCCACACUGGGACUGAGACACGGCCCAG
This 242-nucleotide ribosomal RNA is filed under the name uncultured bacterium. RNAcentral's name for it is "partial 16S ribosomal RNA". It matches the Rfam family "Bacterial small subunit ribosomal RNA", at positions 62 to 334 of the family's 1533-position model. The record is from RNAcentral.